RNAcentral lists this transfer RNA (60 nucleotides) under pig gut metagenome. It matches the Rfam family "tRNA", at positions 8 to 63 of the family's 71-position model. From Rfam's summary of the family: Transfer RNA (tRNA) molecules are approximately 80 nucleotides in length. Their secondary structure includes four short double-helical elements and three loops (D, anti-codon, and T loops). Further hydrogen bonds mediate the characteristic L-shaped molecular structure. tRNAs have two regions of fundamental functional importance: the anti-codon, which is responsible for specific mRNA codon recognition, and the 3' end, to which the tRNAs corresponding amino acid is attached (by aminoacyl-tRNA synthetases). tRNAs cope with the degeneracy of the genetic code in two manners: having more than one tRNA (with a specific anti-codon) for a particular amino acid; and 'wobble' base-pairing, i.e. permitting non-standard base-pairing at the 3rd anti-codon position. The record is from RNAcentral.
AUUAGCUCAGUUGGCAGAGCACUUGACUCUUAAUCAAGAUGUCCAGGGUUCGAACCCCUG